Small nuclear RNA from Rhinolophus ferrumequinum (greater horseshoe bat), 109 nucleotides. The record is from Ensembl. Lineage: Eukaryota; Metazoa; Chordata; Mammalia; Chiroptera; Rhinolophidae.
GUGUUCAAUUCAGCAGUACUUUUACUAAAAUUGGAACAUAACAGAGGAGAUUAUCAUGGCCCAAUGCACCGGGGGUAACAUGCAAAAUUGUGGAACAUUUCAUAUUUAA